Molecule: ribosomal RNA, 253 nt
Filed under: uncultured bacterium
Lineage: Bacteria
Description: partial 16S ribosomal RNA
Rfam family: Bacterial small subunit ribosomal RNA
Source: RNAcentral
UACGGAGGGGGCAAGCGUUGUUCGGAAUUACUGGGCGUAAAGGGCGCGUAGGCGGCCUGUUAAGUCGAACGUGAAAUCCCCGGGCUCAACCCGGGAACUGCGUCCGAUACUGGCAGGCUUGAAUUCGGGAGAGGGAUGCGGAAUUCCAGGUGUAGCGGUGAAAUGCGUAGAUAUCUGGAGGAACACCGGUGGCGAAGGCGGCAUCCUGGACCGAGAUUGACGCUGAGGCGCGAAAGCCAGGGGAGCAAACAGG